Long non-coding RNA from Manis pentadactyla (Chinese pangolin), 1173 nucleotides. RefSeq lists it as uncharacterized. The record is from RefSeq and is a predicted model, not a curated record. Lineage: Eukaryota; Metazoa; Chordata; Mammalia; Pholidota; Manidae. The transcript has 3 exons.
CCAAUUUUUCUAACUGAUAAUUUUUUUUCUUUUAAGGAACUUUCUUGCUUCCACCUGAGAGCCCUGGGAGAAAACAUCAGUACUCAGCAAAACAGAAACAAUGAACAUGAGGAAUAAUAUUUUGUACUCUGAGUCCUGCAGAAGUCUCUGAGGGAACGUGUAAGGCACAGCAGCAAAAAGGGACACAGAGAAUGCCUUCAUGAGCUGCCCUGGUACUGACACAUGGAUGGAAACAAGAUUGUAAAACAAGAUUGUUGCUUCAGGAAAAUUCAUUAUUUAACAACUUCACACAUGUGGUCCAGGAAUAUCUUCCCAAGGCUUGGUUAUUUGCAGAAUAGGAAGACUCAGGCAGGCUUGCUUUGUAUCAUAUCAGCCCAUUCCCAGUCACAUUGACGAGAUCAAAAGGGGAUCUAUCUGAUCCAGCCCGUCCGACUGAGCUCCUUCUUCUACUCCAAAUCCCUUCUGAGUUGGGGCUAAAAGUCUGGGUCUGUUGGCACUAGACCCAUAGGUCAUACAGACUGGGAAGACUGAGGCUGCUAUUUCUGAGUGGUCUUGAUGGGCAACAUGCAAACUUCAGAGGCUGGUCUGUAGACACCGGAAGAGAAGCAGAGAGGAGAGACUUGGUUUCUCCAGUGAAAGCGCAGGAGACAGCAAGCACGCAUGGUUCUUGCCCCCAUUUUCCUGUUCUUCUCACCCAGGAGAUUGCCUUUUGCAUCUUACCCUUAUUUGGAGCUAGUUUGGUUUUCUUGUCCUUACAACUAAAAGACCCUUGACUAAGAUACACAACAUUAUCUAUAAUGUUGAAUACUUAACUCAACUUUGGACAAUUUCACUUUGGAAUACCUGGACCACAGGUUUACCUGGAACCAUGAAGCUCUAGAAAGAAGAGUCCAUUUAUACAUGGUUUUGCUUUAUAUAAUGACAGGAUUAUAAAUGUCUUUCCUAUCAACUAAAGGUCACCUCCUCAAAACACAAAAAUAAAUUCUCACUGAAUUAAAUAUUAAUUUUUGUAUAGGUGUGAAAACUCUAAACUGACAAUUCUAAAUUGUCAACUUUUAAAAAUGAUUCUUCCCUCUAGCUUUUUUUUUCAAUAAUUUCAUUCAAUAAGGCACUAGCUCUCAAAUUUUCAAGAUUCAUAAUGUUCAACUACCAAAUACAGGUGUUUGAUGUGUA